This 482-nucleotide ribosomal RNA is filed under the name uncultured bacterium. RNAcentral's name for it is "partial 16S ribosomal RNA". It matches the Rfam family "Bacterial small subunit ribosomal RNA", at positions 28 to 523 of the family's 1533-position model. The record is from RNAcentral.
GACGAACGCUGGCGGCGUGCUUAACACAUGCAAGUCGAACGAGGCCCCUCCUUCGGGAGGGUGUCCUAGUGGCGAACGGGUGAGUAACACGUGGGCAACCUGCCCCCGGCUCUGGGAUAACCCCAAGAAAUUGGGGCUAAUACCGGAUAUGACCGCUGACCGCAUGGUCGGUGGUGGAAAGUUUUUUCGGCUGGGGAUGGGCCCGCGGCCUAUCAGCGUGUUGGUGGGGUAGUGGCCUACCAAGGCGACGACGGGUAGCCGGCCUGAGAGGGUGACCGGCCACACUGGGACUGAGACACGGCCCAGACUCCUACGGGAGGCAGCAGUGGGGAAUAUUGCGCAAUGGGCGGAAGCCUGACGCAGCGACGCUGCGUGGGGGAUGACGGCCUUCGGGUUGUAAACCUCUUUCAGCAGGGACGAAGCGAAAGUGACGGUACCUGCAGAAGAAGCACCGGCCAACUACGUGCCAGCCGCCGCGGUAA